AAUAAGUCAGUAGUCGGUUAUUAGCACUUAACAUUGGUGUCACUAAAGUUGGCAUACACCCCCCAACUGCUAAAUUUGACUGGCUUAAA
This 89-nucleotide small RNA is filed under the name Microcebus murinus (gray mouse lemur). RNAcentral describes it as "Y RNA (ENSMICG00000029108.2)". Lineage: Eukaryota; Metazoa; Chordata; Mammalia; Primates; Cheirogaleidae. The record is from RNAcentral.